Molecule: small RNA, 28 nt
Filed under: Bombyx mori (domestic silkworm)
Lineage: Eukaryota; Metazoa; Arthropoda; Insecta; Lepidoptera; Bombycidae
Description: ovarian small RNA-35847
Source: RNAcentral
UGUCUUCGAUGUCCUGCGCCCACCUGAC